Molecule: ribosomal RNA, 112 nt
Filed under: Hucho hucho (huchen)
Lineage: Eukaryota; Metazoa; Chordata; Actinopteri; Salmoniformes; Salmonidae
Source: RNAcentral
CAAGGCAGCAAACCACCCUGCAUCCCAGUGCUGGCUUACUUCUGAAGAUAAGCAGGGUUGGUCCUGGUCUGUCCCUGGAUGUGAGAUCAGAUGUUGCUGGAAGUUGUGUUGG